GAUGAACGCUGGCGGCGUGCCUAAUACAUGCAAGUCGAGCGAACGGACGAGAAGCUUGCUUCUCUGAUGUUAGCGGCGGACGGGUGAGUAACACGUGGAUAACCUACCUAUAAGACUGGGAUAACUUCGGGAAACCGGAGCUAAUACCGGAUGAUAUUUUGAACCGCAUGGUUCAAAAGUGAAAGACGGUCUUGCUGUCACUUAUAGAUGGAUCCGCGCUGCAUUAGCUAGUUGGUAAGGUAACGGCUUACCAAGGCAACGAUGCAUAGCCGACCUGAGAGGGUGAUAGGCCACACUGGAACUGAGACACGGUCCAGACUCCUACGGGAGGCAGCAGUAGGGAAUCGUCCGCAAUGGGCGAAAGCCUGACGGAGCAACGCCGCGUGAGUGAUGAAGGUCUUCGGAUCGUAAAACUCUGUUAUUAGGGAAGAACAUAUGUGUAAGUAACUGUGCACAUCUUGACGGUACCUAAUCAGAAAGCCACGGCUAACUACGUG
RNAcentral lists this ribosomal RNA (497 nucleotides) under uncultured bacterium. RNAcentral's name for it is "partial 16S ribosomal RNA". It matches the Rfam family "Bacterial small subunit ribosomal RNA", at positions 28 to 507 of the family's 1533-position model. The record is from RNAcentral.